CCCUUAGAUGUUCUGGGAUGCACGCGCGCUACACUGAAGCUAUCAACACGUUUUCCCUCCCUGAGAAGGGCGGGUAACCUUUUGAAUCAGCUUCGUGGUAGGGAUCGGGGCUUGCAAUUGUUCCCCGUGAACCAGGAAUUCCUAGUAGACGCGAGUCAUAAGCUCGCAUCGAUUAAGUCCCUGCCCUUUGUACACACCGCCCGUCGCUACUACCGAUUGAACGUUUUAGUGAGGCAUUUGGACCGACGCAUCUCAGUUUAACCGCUGGUUUGUGUUGGAAAGACUUCCAAACUUGAGCGUUUAGAGGAAGUAAAAGUCGUAACA
RNAcentral lists this ribosomal RNA (324 nucleotides) under uncultured eukaryote. Its description in RNAcentral is "partial 18S ribosomal RNA". It matches the Rfam family "Eukaryotic small subunit ribosomal RNA", at positions 1470 to 1796 of the family's 1831-position model. The record is from RNAcentral.